This is a long non-coding RNA of Pipistrellus kuhlii (Kuhl's pipistrelle), 190 nucleotides long. RefSeq lists it as uncharacterized. NCBI's taxonomy places the organism in Eukaryota, Metazoa, Chordata, Mammalia, Chiroptera, Vespertilionidae. The record is from RefSeq and is a predicted model, not a curated record. The transcript is spliced from 3 exons.
GGGCAGAGCCAGUAAUCACAGGCUUUAGGCCUGGGCUGAGUCCAGCCCACAAUUGGUGUGAACUAUGGAGGAAACGCCUUUUCUGACUGCACAUUGGCUAAGCUUCCUGUAUGCCACUGGUAAUAUUCUUAGUAACUUGGGUAAUAAGAAUACAAAAAGGUGAUCUAGGAUUUUUCCACCACACUUCUGG